GGGGAAUAUUGCACAAUGGGGGAAACCCUGAUGCAGCGACGCCGCGUGAAGGAAGAAGUAUCUCGGUAUGUAAACUUCUAUCAGCAGGGAAGAAAAUGACGGUACCUGACUAAGAAGCCCCGGCUAACUACGUGCCAGCAGCCGCGGUAAUACGUAGGGGGCAAGCGUUAUCCGGAUUUACUGGGUGUAAAGGGAGCGUAGACGGAUGGACAAGUCUGAUGUGAAAGACUGGGGCUCAACCCCGGGACUGCAUUGGAAACUGCCCGUCUUGAGUGCCGGAGAGGUAAGCGGAAUUCCUAGUGUAGCGGUGAAAUGCGUAGAUAUUAGGAGGAACACCAGUGGCGAAGGCGGCUUACUGGACGGUAACUGACGUUGAGGCUCGAAAGCGUGGGGAGCAAAC
This 400-nucleotide ribosomal RNA is filed under the name uncultured bacterium. RNAcentral's name for it is "bacterial SSU rRNA". It matches the Rfam family "Bacterial small subunit ribosomal RNA", at positions 356 to 773 of the family's 1533-position model. The record is from RNAcentral.